Danio aesculapii is the source of this 367-nucleotide long non-coding RNA. RefSeq lists it as uncharacterized. The transcript has 3 exons. The record is from RefSeq and is a predicted model, not a curated record. Lineage: Eukaryota; Metazoa; Chordata; Actinopteri; Cypriniformes; Danionidae.
UUAUAUUUGUGAGUAAUAUUACGCUUUUGUUAUUAUUUGCGUUUCUUAAACAGUUACCUGUGUGACAAAUUGUGUCUAAGUUAUGUACUUCAAUACAUCUUUUAUUCAUUCACACAAAUAAUGUACAUAACGCCUGCUUUUUUCCUUCUCAGAACAUCCACAUAAACCCUGAAAUUGUUCAGUAUUCUCUCAAACAGCCGUUUGAGUCACCUCAAAUGUAGCAGUGGGCCAGAUUGAAACGGUCCGAUGCACUUCACUUGCAAUGCAGAUCAUCAUUUCUGGACAGCUUUCUACUUACUGCUGUGGACAUGAAAGGCUUUCCCAUGCUGAUGGGCUGCACCACAGCAGUACUGGAGCUGAAUUCCUG